GACGAACGCUGGCGGCGUGCUUAACACAUGCAAGUCGAACGGAAAGGCCCUGCUUUUGUGGGGUGCUCGAGUGGCGAACGGGUGAGUAACACGUGAGUAACCUGCCCUUGACUUUGGGAUAACUUCAGGAAACUGGGGCUAAUACCGGAUAGGAGCUCCUGCUGCAUGGUGGGGGUUGGAAAGUUUCGGCGGUUGGGGAUGGACUCGCGGCUUAUCAGCUUGUUGGUGGGGUAGUGGCUUACCAAGGCUUUGACGGGUAGCCGGCCUGAGAGGGUGACCGGCCAAAUUGGGACUGAGAUACGGCCCAGACUCCUACGGGAGGCAGCAGUGGGGAAUAUUGCACAAUGGGCGGAAGGCUGAUGCAGCAACGCCGCGUGCGGGAUGACGGCCUUCGGGUUGUAAACCGCUUUCGCCUGGGACGAAGCGUGAGUGACGGUAAUGGGUAAAGAAGCAACGGCUAACUACGUG
Molecule: ribosomal RNA, 468 nt
Filed under: uncultured bacterium
Lineage: Bacteria
Description: partial 16S ribosomal RNA
Rfam family: Bacterial small subunit ribosomal RNA
Source: RNAcentral